AAGUCGUAACAAGGUUUCCGUAGGUGAACCUGCGGAAGGAUCAUUACAUUAUCUGCGAUAGCAGCUGUAGAAAUAUAGCUGCUGUUGUUGAUUUCCACCCUUGUCUUUUGCGCACCCCCCGUUUCCUCGGCUGCUCAGCCAGCCGUUAGGACACUUUAUAACCUUUUGUACUGUAUAAUCAGCGUCUGAAAAUAAUAAAUUAUUACAACUUUCAACAACGGAUCUCUUGGUUCUG
RNAcentral lists this unclassified non-coding RNA (235 nucleotides) under fungal sp. Its description in RNAcentral is "partial internal transcribed spacer region". The stretch from base 1 to 46 matches the Rfam family "Eukaryotic small subunit ribosomal RNA", at positions 1786 to 1831 of the family's 1831-position model. The record is from RNAcentral. Lineage: Eukaryota; Fungi.